CGGGGGGCAGCAGUAAGGAAUAUUGGACAAUGGACGCAAGUCUGAUCCAGCCAUGCCGCGUGAAGGAUUAAGGCCCUCUGGGUUGUAAACUUCUUUUAUAGGGGACGAAAAAGGAGCUUUCUAGCUCAACUGACGGUACCCUAUGAAUAAGCACCGGCUAACUCCGUGCCAGCAGCCGCGGUAAUACGGAGGGUGCAAGCGUUAUCCGGAUUCACUGGGUUUAAAGGGUGCGUAGGCGGGCAAUUAAGUCAGUGGUGAAAUCUUGGGGCUCAACCCCGAAACUGCCAUUGAUACUAUUUGUCUUGAAUACUGUGGAGGUUAGCGGAAUAUGUCAUGUAGCGGUGAAAUGCUUAGAUAUGACAUAGAACACCGAUUGCGAAGGCAGCUGGCUACACAAGCAUUGACGCUGAGGCACGAAAGCGUGGGGAUCAAACAGGAUUAGAUACCCGAGU
Molecule: ribosomal RNA, 452 nt
Filed under: uncultured Sediminibacterium sp.
Lineage: Bacteria; Pseudomonadati; Bacteroidota; Chitinophagia; Chitinophagales; Chitinophagaceae
Description: bacterial SSU rRNA
Rfam family: Bacterial small subunit ribosomal RNA
Source: RNAcentral